UUUAAGAAACACCAGUCAGCUAUUUGAAGA
RNAcentral lists this non-coding RNA (30 nucleotides) under Rattus norvegicus (Norway rat). Lineage: Eukaryota; Metazoa; Chordata; Mammalia; Rodentia; Muridae. The record is from RNAcentral.